GGUUCGAUUAUGGCUCAGAUUGAACGCUGGCGGGAUGCUUUACAUGCAAGUCGAACGGCAGCACGGACUUCGGUCUGGUGGCGAGUGGCGAACGGGUGAGUAAUGUAUCGGAACGUGCCUAGUAGCGGGGGAUAACUACGCAGCGUAGCUAAUACCGCAUACGCCCUUCGGGGGAAAGCGGGGGACCUUCGGGCCUCGCACUAUUAGAAGCGGCCGAUAUCGGAUUAGCUAGUUGGUGGGAUAACGGCUCACCAAGGCGACGAUCCGUAGCUGGUUUGAAGGACGACCAGCCACACUGGGACUGAGACGGCCCAGACUCCUACGGGAGGCAGCAGUGAAAUUUUGGACAAUGGGGGAAACCUGAUCCAGCCAUCCCGCGUGUGCGAUGAAGGCCUUCGGGUUAUAAAGCACUUUGGCAGGAAAGAAACGGCACGGGAUAAUACGUGCAGCCAGCCAAUACCUGCAGAGUCAGCACCCAUUCUUCCCAUUUUCGGCAGCCGCGGUAAUACGUAGGGUGCAAGCGUUAAUCGGAAUUACUGGGCGUAAAGCGUGCGCAGGCGGUUCAGGAAAGAAGAAGAAUCAAAAUCCCAAACUUAGCUUUGGAACUGCCGCAUUUUUAACUACCGAGCUAGAAUUGUGUGUCAGGGAGGUGGAAUUCCGCGUGUAGCAGUGAAAUGCGUAGAUAUGCGGAGGAACACCGAUAGCGAAGGCAACCUCCUGGGAUAACACUGACGCUCAUGCACAGCAGUAGAGGAGCAAACAGGAUUAAGAUACCCUGGUAGUCCACGCCCUAAACGAUGUCAACUAGCUGUUGGGGCCUUCAGACCUUGGUAGCGCAACUAACGUGAAGUUGACCAUACCAAGUACGGUCGCAAGAUUAAAACCUCAAGGAGAUUGACGGGGACCCGCACAAGCGGUGGAUGAUGUGGAUUAAUUCGAUGCAACGCAGAAAAACCUUACCUGCAACAAAGCGCUAUGCGGAAUCCCGAAGAGAUUUGGGAGUGCUCGCAAGAGAACCGGAACACAGGUGCUGCAUGGCUGUCGUCAGCUCGUGUCGUGAGAUGUUGGGUUAAGUCCGCAACGAGCGCAACCCUUGUCAUUAGUUGCUACGAAAGGGCCACUCUAAUGAGACUGCCGGUGACAAACCGGAGAGGUGGGGAUGACGUCAAGUCCUCGCAGCCACUUAUGGGCGGGGCUUCACACGUCAUACAAUGGUCGGGACAGAGGGUCGCCAACCCGCGAGGGGAGCCAAUCCCAGAAACCCGAUCGUGGUCCGGAUCUGAUCUGCAACUCGACUGCGUGAAGUCGGAAUCUUUAAGUAAUCGCGGAUCAGCAUGUCGCGGUGAAUACGUUCGGGUCUUGUACACACCGCCGUCACACCAUGGGAACAUAGGUUUUACCAGAAGUAGUUAGCCUAACCGUAAGGAGGGCGAUUACCACGGUAGGAUUCAUGACUGGGGUGAAGUCGUAACAAGGUAG
Molecule: ribosomal RNA, 1479 nt
Filed under: uncultured Bordetella sp.
Lineage: Bacteria; Pseudomonadati; Pseudomonadota; Betaproteobacteria; Burkholderiales; Alcaligenaceae
Description: partial 16S-23S ribosomal RNA intergenic spacer
Rfam family: Bacterial small subunit ribosomal RNA
Source: RNAcentral